CCUGCUCCUAGAGUCAUUGAUAGUGUCUCUGCUAUGUCACAUGUUAUAUCAGUAGGUGGCAGAGAAGAGAAAGGGCAUGUCUACACUCAGUAUUCUGAUCUAUGAACAUCUGAAUGAUUAGUAGCCUAGCAUU
Small nucleolar RNA from Grammomys surdaster, 133 nucleotides. RefSeq annotates it as small nucleolar RNA SNORA17. Lineage: Eukaryota; Metazoa; Chordata; Mammalia; Rodentia; Muridae. The record is from RefSeq and is a predicted model, not a curated record. The transcript has a single exon.